AUGGAGUUCGCCGCGCGAGGCCGAGAAACCGCCGCGGCCGACGGCGUUGGCGUCGGCGAUGGCCGCCGCCUCCCCGAUCCUCCGCCGCCGCACGGCAAUGAUGCUGACUCACCACAGGCAGACAUGGUGGCGCUGGUGUUGAGGAGGGAGCAGCUGCUGCACGAGCUCCACAAGGAGCGCAUCCGCCACGAUAUGAUCUUGUGCGAGCUUGCCCAAACAGAGCGCGCCAUGACCGCGUGCUUAGCAGGGCUUGGCGCUUUGCGUGGGUUGUCGUUGAUGACUCCACGGGAAGAGGUGAUGUACCGCACGCCGCGGUCCAGUGAGGAAGCUUCUUGGUGGUACAGGAGUCCCUCGGGGCAAGUGAUACCUCCUGUUUACCCACACGUUGAACGGUCGCCGUCACCAGUGCCGCAGCGAAGGCCAGUCGAUGAUGCUGAGCAGCAAGAACGCGGCAGCUCAUCUAGGCCAGUUGUAGCAACUCCUUCAGCGUUUCCUGAAGUGGAACUAUUCCGGUCACUGAGCAAGGACCCUGCAGUGGAAGCUUUGGUACCUGCUGUGACCAAUGUCGUUGCCAAACCAGCAGAGCCAGCAUUGCUGCGCAAGGAGGUGGCAAUAGAGAGCCGUGCCGCUGUUGAUCAUGAACACGAAGCAGGAUUGAAGCACAGACAUGCCGUGCAGCUGAUGGAGAAUGGAAUUCAGAUAAGUGAACAGUUAAAGCGUGCAGCCAUUGGUCAGGAAAGCAAAGCAGGAUCGAAGGACAGCCAUGCCGUGCAGCUGAUGGAGAGUGGAAUUCAGAUAAGUCAACAGCUAAAUCAUGUAGCCGUUGGUCAAGGAAGCAAAGCAGAAGCGAAGGACAGCCAUCCUGUGCAGCUGAUGGAGAGCGGAAUUCGGAUAACUGAACAGCUGAAGCGUGCAUCCAUUGGUCAAGGAAGCAAAGCAGAAGCGAAGGACAACCAUGCAAUGCAGCUGAUGGAGAGUGUAACUGAGAGAAGCAAACAGCUAAAGCGUGCAGCCGUUGGCCGAGAAAUCAAAGCAGAAGUGAAGGACAACCAUGCCUUGCAGCUGAUGGAGAGUGAACUUCAGAGAACUGAACAGCCAAAUCUUGCAGCUGUUGGCAAGGAACAGGAAGCAGGAUUGAAGGAUGGCCAUGCCGUCCAGCUGCUGGCUAGUGGAAUUCAGAUAAACGAAGAGCUAAAACGUGCAGCCGUCGGCCAGGAACGCAAAGCAGAAGCGAAGGACAGCCAUGUCGCGCAGCUGAUGGAGAAUAAAAUACAGAGAAGUGAAAAGCCGAAGCGUGAAAAUUUUGGUCAGGAACGUGAAGCAGUAGUGAAGGAUGGCAAUGCCGUGAAGCUGACGGUGAAUAGAAUCCAGAGAAGUGAACAGCCAAAGCGUGAUGUCUCUGGUCAGCAGCACGAAGCAGAAGAAAAGGAUAGACAUGCUGUAAAGUUGAUGGAGGAGAGUGGAAUCCAGGGAAGUGAACAGCCAAAGCCUGCUAAGCCUACCAUGAAAGAUUGCAUCGAUGAGCGGAGGCAAUCGCCUCACCAACAUGCGCUGGCUGGCAAGAAGUCCCCAUUUAAUGAGCAGAAGAGACCAGCGUUCAACGAGCCUAAUACCCAAACCACGCCUAGUGGGGUGAAAAGGAGACCGGUAUCUGGACCGGUUGUGACAACUCCAUCACCAAAGAGGCAGAAGCCACUUGAAGAAUGGAAUUGCACCCUCUGUCAAGUGAAUCUGACCUGUGAAGAAGACUUGAUGCAACACAAAGCAGGCGAUCUACACCGGUUGAACCUUGCGGCGUUGCGGUCCAGGCAGAAAGCCUUUGGAUUUGACUUGCGCAACCAUCUGAAGGGCAGCAGCCAGCAGGAGAGCACGCAGGCCCUGCACACGGAAGCCGGGAGCCACCAUCCCAAAGGGAGGAGUCAUCAGGAGAGCGCACAGACCCGGCAGGCAGGAGGAGGCAACGAGGAGGGCAAGCGUUUCGCUGACCGCAGGGCUACUGAAGGUCCGAGGAAGGAGUUUGUAAGCAAAUUUCCCUUCUGCAAGCUCUGCAAAGUGCAGUACUCCAGCGAGAAGGUGAAGGAGUCGCAUCUCGCCGGGAAGAAACACAGGGAGAACCUUCAGGCACGCCAUUGA
This 2133-nucleotide ribosomal RNA is filed under the name Triticum aestivum (bread wheat). Its description in RNAcentral is "partial small subunit ribosomal RNA". The record is from RNAcentral. Lineage: Eukaryota; Viridiplantae; Streptophyta; Magnoliopsida; Poales; Poaceae.